Molecule: ribosomal RNA, 492 nt
Filed under: uncultured bacterium
Lineage: Bacteria
Description: partial 16S ribosomal RNA
Rfam family: Bacterial small subunit ribosomal RNA
Source: RNAcentral
AGUGAACGCUGGCGGUAGGCCUAACACAUGCAAGUCGAACGGCAGCACAGUAAGAGCUUGCUCUUACGGGUGGCGAGUGGCGGACGGGUGAGGAAUACAUCGGAAUCUACUUUUUCGUGGGGGAUAACGUAGGGAAACUUACGCUAAUACCGCUUACGACCUACGGGUGAAAGCAGGGGAUCUUCGGACCUUGCGCGAUUGAAUGAGCCGAUGUCGGAUUAGCUAGUUGGCGGGGUAAAGGCCCACCAAGGCGACGAUCCGUAGCUGGUCUGAGAGGAUGAUCAGCCACACUGGAACUGAGACACGGUCCAGACUCCUACGGGAGGCAGCAGCGGGGAAUAUUGGACAAUGGGCGCAAGCCUGAUCCAGCCAUACCGCGUGGGUGAAGAAGGCCUUCGGGUUGUAAAGCCCUUUUGUUGGGAAAGAAAAGCAGCAGGUUAAUACCCCGCUGUUCUGACGGUACCCAAAGAAUAAGCACCGGCUAACUUCGUG